Molecule: ribosomal RNA, 497 nt
Filed under: uncultured bacterium
Lineage: Bacteria
Description: partial 16S ribosomal RNA
Rfam family: Bacterial small subunit ribosomal RNA
Source: RNAcentral
GAUGAACGCUGGCGGCGUGCCUAAUACAUGCAAGUCGAGCGAACAGACGAGGAGCUUGCUCCUCUGACGUUAGCGGCGGACGGGUGAGUAACACGUGGAUAACCUACCUAUAAGACUGGGAUAACUUCGGGAAACCGGAGCUAAUACCGGAUAAUAUAUUGAACCGCAUGGUUCAAUAGUGAAAGACGGUUUUGCUGUCACUUAUAGAUGGAUCCGCGCCGCAUUAGCUAGUUGGUAAGGUAACGGCUUACCAAGGCGACGAUGCGUAGCCGACCUGAGAGGGUGAUCGCCCACACUGGAACUGAGACACGGUCCAGAGUCCUACGGGAGGCACCAGUAGGGAAUCUUCCGCAAUGGGCGAAAGCCUGACGGAGCAACGCCGCGUGAGUGAUGAAGGUCUUCGGAUCGUAAAACUCUGUUAUUAGGGAAGAACAAAUGUGUAAGUAACUAUGCACGUCUUGACGGUACCUAAUCAGAAAGCCACGGCUAACUACGUG